UACGUAGGGGGCAAGCGUUGUCCGGAAUCAUUGGGCGUAAAGCGCGUGUAGGCGGCCAGAAAAGUCCGCUGUGAAAACUCGAGGCUCAACUUCGAGCUGUCGGUGGAAACUUUCUGGCUAGAGUCCGGAAGAGGAGAAUGGAAUUCCUGGUGUAGCGGUGAAAUGCGCAGAUAUCAGGAAGAACACCCGUGGCGAAGGCGGUUCUCUGGGACGGUACUGACGCUGAGACGCGAAAGCCAGGGGAGCAAACGGG
Molecule: ribosomal RNA, 253 nt
Filed under: uncultured bacterium
Lineage: Bacteria
Description: partial 16S ribosomal RNA
Rfam family: Bacterial small subunit ribosomal RNA
Source: RNAcentral